This 250-nucleotide unclassified non-coding RNA is filed under the name plant metagenome. RNAcentral's name for it is "partial contains small subunit ribosomal RNA, internal transcribed spacer 1, and 5.8S ribosomal RNA". The record is from RNAcentral.
GUAGGUGAACCUGCGGAAGGAUCAUUGCAAAUCACGAGGGGGGGGAAGUUGGUGGGUGGUAUAUGGUGGUGGUGGGGUGGUUGAGGGGGAAAGAGGGGAGACGAUUCCUUCUUUUUCUCUGGCUUACUUUGCUAUGCUAUAUAUAAUAUACCUGGCUCCUUCUUUACUCACAUAUGCACGACAAGGCCUGCUUCGGUGGGCUGCGUCGAUGUUUACGCUUGUAUGUUUGACUGUUUCAUGAUGCCAUUAA